RNAcentral lists this ribosomal RNA (421 nucleotides) under uncultured bacterium. Its description in RNAcentral is "partial 16S ribosomal RNA". It matches the Rfam family "Bacterial small subunit ribosomal RNA", at positions 361 to 775 of the family's 1533-position model. The record is from RNAcentral.
AUUUUGGACAAUGGGGGAAACCCUGAUCCAGCCAUCCCGCGUGUAUGAUGAAGGCCUUCGGGUUGUAAAGUACUUUUGGCAGAGAAGAAAAGGUAUCUCCUAAUACGAGAUACUGCUGACGGUAUCUGCAGAAUAAGCACCGGCUAACUACGUGCCAGCACCCGCGGUAAUACGUAGGGUGCAAGCGUUAAUGGGAAUAACUGGGGGUAAAGCUUGUGUAGGCGGUUCGGAAAGAAAGAUGUAAAAUCCAAGGCCUAAACCUUGGAACUGCAUUUUUAACUGCCGAGUUAGAUAAUGUCAGAGGGGCGUAGAAUUCCACGUGUAGCAUUGAAAUGCGUAGAUAUGUGGAGGAAGCCCGAUGCCGAAGGAAGCCCCCUGGGAUAAUACUGACGCCCGGAAACGAAAGCGUGGGAGCAAACAG